UACGGGGGGAGCAAGCGUUGUUCGGAUUUACUGGGCGUAAAGGGCUCGUAGGCGGCCAACUAAGUCAGACGUGAAAUCCCUCAGCUUAACUGGGGAACUGCGUCUGAUACUGGAUGGCUUGAGUUUGGGAGAGGGAUGCGGAAUUCCAGGUGUAGCGGUGAAAUGCGUAGAUAUCUGGAGGAACACCGGUGGCGAAGGCGGCAGACUGGACCAACACUGACACUGAGGAGCGAAAGCCAGGGGAGCAAGCGGG
Molecule: ribosomal RNA, 253 nt
Filed under: uncultured bacterium
Lineage: Bacteria
Description: partial 16S ribosomal RNA
Rfam family: Bacterial small subunit ribosomal RNA
Source: RNAcentral